AUUGAACGCUGGCGGCAUGCCUUACACAUGCAAGUCGAACGGCAGCACGGGAGCAAUCCUGGUGGCGAGUGGCGAACGGGUGAGUAAUAUAUCGGAACGUGCCCAGUCGUGGGGGAUAACGUAGCGAAAGCUACGCUAAUACCGCAUACGAUCUAUGGAUGAAAGCGGGGGAUCGCAAGACCUCGCGCGAUUGGAGCGGCCGAUAUCAGAUUAGGUAGUUGGUGAGGUAAAGGCUCACCAAGCCGACGAUCUGUAGCUGGUCUGAGAGGACGACCAGCCACACUGGGACUGAGACACGGCCCAGACUCCUACGGGAGGCAGCAGUGGGGAAUUUUUGGACAAUGGGCGCAAGCCUGAUCCAGCAAUGCCGCGUGC
Molecule: ribosomal RNA, 375 nt
Filed under: uncultured bacterium
Lineage: Bacteria
Description: bacterial SSU rRNA
Rfam family: Bacterial small subunit ribosomal RNA
Source: RNAcentral